UGGGGAAUAUUGCACAAUGGGCGCAAGCCUGAUGCAGCCAUGCCGCGUGUGUGAAGAAGGCCUUCGGGUUGUAAAGCACUUUCAGCGGGGAGGAAGGCGUUAAGGUUAAUAACCUUGGCGAUUGACGUUACCCGCAGAAGGAGCACCGGCUAACUCCGUGCCAGCAGCCGCGGUAAUACGGAGGGUGCAAGCGUUAAUCGGAAUUACUGGGCGUAAAGCGCACGCAGGCGGUCUGUCAAGUCGGAUGUGAAAUCCCCGGGCUCAACCUGGGAACUGCAUCUGAUACUGGCAAGCUUGAGUCUCGUAGAGGGGGGUAGAAUUCCAGGUGUAGCGGUGAAAUGCGUAGAGAUCUGGAGGAAUACCGGUGGCGAAGGCGGCCCCCUGGACGAAGACUGACGCUCAGGUGCGAAAGCGUGGGGAGCAAACAGG
This 429-nucleotide ribosomal RNA is filed under the name Chloroflexota bacterium. RNAcentral describes it as "Chloroflexi bacterium partial 16S ribosomal RNA". It matches the Rfam family "Bacterial small subunit ribosomal RNA", at positions 355 to 776 of the family's 1533-position model. Lineage: Bacteria; Bacillati; Chloroflexota. The record is from RNAcentral.